This 510-nucleotide ribosomal RNA is filed under the name uncultured bacterium. Its description in RNAcentral is "bacterial SSU rRNA". It matches the Rfam family "Bacterial small subunit ribosomal RNA", at positions 791 to 1301 of the family's 1533-position model. The record is from RNAcentral.
UAGUCCACGCCGUAAACGAUGUCAACUAGCCGUUGGGGGGCUUAGUCCCUUUAGUGGCGUAGCUAACGCGCUAAGUUGACCGCCUGGGGAGUACGGUCGCAAGAUUAAAACUCAAAUGAAUUGACGGGGGCCCGCACAAGCGGUGGAGCAUGUGGUUUAAUUCGAUGCAACGCGAAAAACCUUACCUGGUCUUGACAUCCUGCGAACUUUCUAGAGAUAGAUUGGUGCCUUCGGGAACGCAGUGACAGGUGCUGCAUGGCUGUCGUCAGCUCGUGUCGUGAGAUGUUGGGUUAAGUCCCGUAACGAGCGCAACCCUUGUCCUUAUUUGCCAUCAUUUAGUUGGGCACUCUAGGGAGACUGCCGGUGACAAACCGGAGGAAGGUAAGGAUGACGUCAAGUCAGCAUGCCCCUUAUGCUCUGGGCUACACACGUGCUACAAUGGCCGUGACAAAGAGUUGCUACUUUGUGAAAACAAGCUAAUCUCAUAAACGCGGCCUCAGUUCGGAUUGC